CCAAUAGCGUAUAUUAAAGUUGUUGCAGUUAAAAAGCUCGUAGUUGAAUUUCGGGGUCUGUCCGUCGGUCGGACUUCACGGUCCGUACUGGUGUGAUGGGUUCCUACCUUCUGAAUAACCGGCAUGCCAUUCAGUUGGUGCGCCGGGGAAGCAGAGCUAUUACCUUGAAAAAAUUAGAGUGCUUAAAGCAGGCUAGUGCUUGAAUAGAUUAGCAUGGAAUAAUAAAAUAGGACGGCAUGGUUCUAUUUUGUUGGUUUCUAGGAUCACCGUAAUGAUUAAUAGGGAUAGUUGGGGGCAUUAGUAUUCAAUUGUCAGAGGUGAAAUUCUUGGAUUUAUUGAAGACUAACUUCUGCGAAAGCAUUUGCCAAGGAUGUUUUCAUUAAUCAAGAACGAAAGUUAGGGGAUCGAAGACGAUCAGAUACCGUCGUAGUCUUAACCAUAAACUAUGCCGACUAGGGAUCGGACGAUGUUAAUUUUUUAAUGACUCGUUCGGCGCCUUACG
Molecule: ribosomal RNA, 502 nt
Filed under: uncultured Glomeromycotina
Lineage: Eukaryota; Fungi; Glomeromycota
Description: partial small subunit ribosomal RNA
Rfam family: Eukaryotic small subunit ribosomal RNA
Source: RNAcentral